GAUGAACGCUGGCGGCGUGCCUAAUACAUGCAAGUCGAACGCAGUGGGGACGGGUGAGUAACACGUGGGUAACCUCCCAUCAGAGGGGAUAACACUUGGAAACAGGUGCUAAACCGAUACUGAUGGAUGGACCCGCGGUGCAUUAGCUAGUUGGGGGGGUAACGGCUCACCAAGGCCAAGAUGCAUAGGCGAGCUGAUAGGGUGAUGGGCAACACUGGGACGGAGACACGGCCCAGAGUCCUACAGAAGGAAGCAGUAGGGAAUCUUCGGCAAUGGACGAAAGGCUGACCGAGCAACGCAACGUGAGGGAAGAAGGUUUUCGGAUCGUAAAACUCUGUUGUUAGAGAAGCGGUAUCUAACCAGAAAGCCACGGCUAACUACGUGUCAGCAGCCGCGGUAAUAC
This 403-nucleotide ribosomal RNA is filed under the name uncultured bacterium. RNAcentral's name for it is "partial 16S ribosomal RNA". It matches the Rfam family "Bacterial small subunit ribosomal RNA", at positions 28 to 526 of the family's 1533-position model. The record is from RNAcentral.